This 456-nucleotide ribosomal RNA is filed under the name Streptococcus sp. oral taxon 071. Its description in RNAcentral is "bacterial SSU rRNA". It matches the Rfam family "Bacterial small subunit ribosomal RNA", at positions 28 to 469 of the family's 1533-position model. The record is from RNAcentral. Lineage: Bacteria; Bacillati; Bacillota; Bacilli; Lactobacillales; Streptococcaceae.
GACGAACGCUGGCGGCGUGCCUAAUACAUGCAAGUAGAACGCUGAAGAGAGGAGCUUGCUCUUCUUGGAUGAGUUGCGAACGGGUGAGUAACGCGUAGGUAACCUGCCUGGUAGCGGGGGAUAACUAUUGGAAACGAUAGCUAAUACCGCAUAAAAUGGAUUAUCGCAUGAUAAUCCAUUGAAAGGUGCAAAUGCAUCACUACCAGAUGGACCUGCGUUGUAUUAGCUAGUUGGUGGGGUAACGGCUCACCAAGGCGACGAUACAUAGCCGACCUGAGAGGGUGAUCGGCCACACUGGGACUGAGACACGGCCCAGACUCCUACGGGAGGCAGCAGUAGGGAAUCUUCGGCAAUGGACGGAAGUCUGACCGAGCAACGCCGCGUGAGUGAAGAAGGUUUUCGGAUCGUAAAGCUCUGUUGUAAGAGAAGAACGAGUGUGAGAGGGAAAGUUCACAC